UUAAUCUCACUUGUUCUGUAAAGAGUUGGAUCCGACGCCUCUGGAAGGCUACUAUAGGCUCUCCUUCCCAACUCCUACUCAAUACGUCCGCGACGUUCAGAACGGUAACUUGUCGCCUAGAUAUCCUGGCUUGGGUAUACGGAGCGAUCCUACCCCUUGGGCGGAUGAGCGACAAGGCUGAAUUGAGAGGU
This is a non-coding RNA of Anopheles atroparvus, 191 nucleotides long. Lineage: Eukaryota; Metazoa; Arthropoda; Insecta; Diptera; Culicidae. The record is from Rfam.